GGAUGUAGUUCAAUGGUAGAGUACUUGUUUAGCAUGCAUGAGGCCCUGGGUUCAAUCCCCAGUACUACCA
This is a non-coding RNA of Heterocephalus glaber (naked mole-rat), 70 nucleotides long. The record is from Rfam. NCBI's taxonomy places the organism in Eukaryota, Metazoa, Chordata, Mammalia, Rodentia, Bathyergidae.